CCCCAUAAUAAGUUUUUAAGGCAUCUUAGAAAUUUUAAAGCUUUGGUGGAUACGGAUUGGCUCGCGUGACAUUAGCUAGAUGGUAGGGUAACGGCCUACCAUGGCUACGAUGUCUAGGGGUUCUGAGAGGAAGAUCCCCCACACUGGAACUGAGACACGGUCCAGACUCCUACGGGAGGCAGCAGUGAGGAAUAUUGGACAAUGGAUGGAAAUCUGAUCCAGCCAUGCCGCGUGCAGGAAGACGGCCCUAUGGGUUGUAAACUGCUUUUAUACGGGAGCAAUAAGGACUAUGCGUAGUUUGAUGAGAGUACCGUAUGAAUAAGCACCGGCUAACUCCGUGCCAGCAGCCGCGGUAAUACGGAGGGUGCAAGCGUUAUCCGGAUUUAUUGGGUUUAAAGGGUGCGUAGGCGGUUUCUUAAGUCAGCGGUGAAAGUUUUCAGCUUAACUGGAAAAAUGCCGUUGAUACUGAUAAGCUGGAAU
Molecule: ribosomal RNA, 480 nt
Filed under: uncultured bacterium
Lineage: Bacteria
Description: bacterial SSU rRNA
Rfam family: Bacterial small subunit ribosomal RNA
Source: RNAcentral